AUUGAACGCUGGCGGCAGGCCUAACACAUGCAAGUCGAACGGUAACAGGAAGCAGCUUGCUGCUUCGCUGACGAGUGGCGGACGGGUGAGUAAUGUCUGGGAAACUGCCUGAUGGAGGGGGAUAACUACUGGAAACGGUAGCUAAUACCGCAUAACGUCGCAAGACCAAAGAGGGGGACCUUAGGGCCUCUUGCCAUCGGAUGUGCCCAGAUGGGAUUAGCUAGUAGGUGGGGUAACGGCUCACCUAGGCGACGAUCCCUAGCUGGUCUGAGAGGAUGACCAGCCACACUGGAACGGAGACACGGUCCAGACUCCUACGGGAGGCAGCAGUGGGGAAUAUUGCACAAUGGGCGCAAGCCUGAUGCAGCCAUGCCGCGUGUAUGAAGAAGGCCUUCGGGUUGUAAAGUACUUUCAGCGGGGAGGAAGGGAGUAAAGUUAAUACCUUUGCUCAUUGACGUUACCCGCAGAAGAAGCACCGGCUAACUCCGUG
RNAcentral lists this ribosomal RNA (490 nucleotides) under uncultured bacterium. RNAcentral describes it as "partial 16S ribosomal RNA". It matches the Rfam family "Bacterial small subunit ribosomal RNA", at positions 30 to 507 of the family's 1533-position model. The record is from RNAcentral.